GACGAACGCUGGCGGCGUGCUUAACACAUGCAAGUCGAACGCUGAAGCUUGGUGCUUGCACUGGGUGGAUGAGUGGCGAACGGGUGAGUAAUACGUGAGUAACCUGCCCUUGACUCUGAGAUAAGCCUGGGAAACUGGGUCUAAUACUGGAUAUGACAUGCCACUGCAUGGUGGUGUGUGGAAAGGGUUUUACUGGUUUUGGAUGGGCUCACGGCCUAUCAGCUUGUUGGUGGGGUAAUGGCCUACCAAGGCGACGACGGGUAGCCGGCCUGAGAGGGUGACCGGCCACACUGGGACUGAGACACGGCCCAGACUCCUACGGGAGGCAGCAGUGGGGAAUAUUGCACAAUGGGCGGAAGCCUGAUGCAGCGACGCCGCGUGAGGGAUGACGGCCUUCGGGUUGUAAACCUCUUUCAGCACGGAAGAAGCGAGAGUGACGGUACGUGCAGAAGAAGCGCCGGCUAACUACGUG
Molecule: ribosomal RNA, 472 nt
Filed under: uncultured bacterium
Lineage: Bacteria
Description: partial 16S ribosomal RNA
Rfam family: Bacterial small subunit ribosomal RNA
Source: RNAcentral